Long non-coding RNA from Papaver somniferum (opium poppy), 703 nucleotides. RefSeq lists it as uncharacterized. NCBI's taxonomy places the organism in Eukaryota, Viridiplantae, Streptophyta, Magnoliopsida, Ranunculales, Papaveraceae. The record is from RefSeq and is a predicted model, not a curated record. The transcript is spliced from 2 exons.
AAUGACCUUUUAUGUAUUAACGAAGAUAAAAAGGAAACUCAAUUGUUUCCUCAAUUAUAUUUCAGAUCCGAAAAGAGUCUCUCUUUUCGCUCUCCUCCUCUUUCAGCCUACCACCAUCACUACCUCUACCACCGUCUCUGUCGUCUUCGCCACCACCUCCGCAGCAAUCACCUCAAUCAAUCGACCCCUUUGAUGAUUUCGAUUUUCAGCGUGUUUAAGAUCUUGACAUUAAUGGUGCAUUUCAAACAGAACUUGUUAAAGUCUUUUGUAUUUGAUUUCUAAUAGAUCGAAAUUGGAGAGGUACUGUCUCUCUUCAUAUUGGUGGCUUUUGUUGGGAUGUUGGAAUCAACAAUGGAGAUUGACUUAUUUUGCAACUAUUUUAGCUUCACGAGCAGAUUUGGGAACUACUACAUUGGGGAUUAUGUAUGUAUUAGGUACUGAAAUCACCAGCAAUGCAUGAUAUUAAUAAUUUAUGGGAUCAACUCCUACUGUUGAUACCACUUUUAUGGGAUCAAAUAUUGUUGUUGAUUCAACAAAAGGGAUCAACUCCUGUUGUUUACUCCAUUUUUAUGGGAUCAGCUACUGUUGUUGACAGCAUUUCCUUGGAUUAGUAUAAUUAUGCCUGUAGUUUAAAUGCUUUGAUUUUUAUAGAUGUAAAUUUUUCAAAAUGUUGAGUUUGUGGUGCAAUGGUAGCUUGACUGAU